UGGAUGGAGACAAAGACUCCGAUACUGGAACGCUUCCAGCAAGCCUCCGAAUCCUCGCUGCGUUUCUGAUGGACAUUUUCAGGAUUUCUUAGAGCGGCAAAGGAGCAAAUGAAAACUGACACUGUAGUGGACCCCAGCUACAGGAGGGAAAGAGGAAGAAAUGGAUGGAGGACAGGAGCUUUGGGUGAGAAAAACCUGAGAGUGAAGGAAGGGUCAGUCAUGUAGCCUCUUAUAAAACAGUCACUGACUUCUAUUUUACCCCAAUUUCACCACCUUUCUGCAUCUUCUGGGCUGCCACUGUGGCUUGUUUGUGGGUUACUCUGCACCCGACCUUACCCUGCAGAGCUGCAGCUUCUCGUCCCCACAGCAGCAGCAAAGCAAACGGGAGAAAACCAAACAGCUCAGGCAACUUGAGCACAGCACAGGAACGCACUGACAAAAAGCAGCAAAGCCAAAAGUGCUUGAAUAAUAAAACAGAGGAAGAAAAACCACCAUAGCCAUCCAGAAGCUGUCAACUGCCAGACAGACAAGCUCCCUUGGAAAGAGCACUGAAGGCAGGUUCAGGGAAGAGCAAUAUCCAUAAGGCAACACAGUGCCAGUGGUUUUUUUCCUCAGUUUAUUAUGACAAGUUAACAGGGGCUGGAAGAGAACAAAACAUGGAAGAUUUUCAUAGGAGAAAUCAGGACACCCUGCCAAGGACGGCUGCCCUGAACUCGAGUUAUCCCUGAACUCACAUUUGUAGGCACUUAAAACCUUAGCAAGAUCAUUAACAAGCUAAUAAGAACCACCAGCAAAAGGAGCAUAACCUGGACUCGCUAAUGUGUUUUGUUCUGAAUGAUGAAAGGGCAAAAGCAUCCAGACACUCAGUUGCUGCAGCUAAAAAAAAAUAACAAAAGAUGCUGCCAUUCGCAUUGUCUCCUACCCUGCUCUUUCCAAUGCUGCUACAUUAAAGUGGUCUCCAUCCUAUCUUCCAGUCUGUCUGCCUUGUGUUCUCCCCGCUGUUCAAAAAGCACAGUAAUUCCUUAAGUGCUACAACAUCCUGCAGAAAAAUGGACUGUAACAUAUGCUGUACAGCUCAGCUUAACAAUUUCCUUUGUCUCUGCACGGACCCGUUGAACCCCUGAGCUCCAUGAGCAGCCCACUCUUCCCUGGAAAUCAGCAGAUUCAACAGCAUCACAGGAGCAAAGCAACCUCACUGUGUUGGAUCUGCAAGGACAUUCUCUCCAGACUCACGACUAUUUCCCACUCACCAGGGUUUGAGGGGAUACAGGGUAGUCCUGAUUUGGCAGUCCAUGCCAACCUUGAACUCCCUAGUCUUGGUUUUGCUCUGGUUGGCUGCAUUCAGGGAAAAACCUGUUUAUGCCUUCCCUCUGAAAUGAUUUCAGAAGCUUCAGAUCCACUUUUAUGCUGGUUGUAUCACAUAUUUCAGCAAAGAGGAGCAUGGUUUCAUCACACAGCAGAUCUGCUCUACUUUUUCUGCAGCAAGACGUGUAGUCACCUGAACAAAAUCUUUUCACCAGCUCUUUCUGGGGAAUGGAUGAUGAAUAUAAAUUUGGGGAACUACAAAGAGGCAAGCUGUAGGGAGCUUUUCAAUGUUUAAAAGCUGAUCCAAAUCUGUGACAUUUAGAAAGUACACAAAACCACUUUCACUUCUUUCAACUUCCCAUGCAACACGCUUGCUUGAAAACAAGUGUUUGCACAAGCUGCUUCCUAGAUCUUAAAUUUAUUUAAGAAAGCACCUCUGCCAGCACCUUUCCUCCAGCCCAAUUCACUCCCUACAGCUCAGCUCCCAGGAGGACAUGCACUGAAUCCCAUCAGUGCAGUGGGGGAGCACAGCCUGACCACGGAGCACACAGCCCGUUUCGGCAUGGCCAUGAGAAAGGCUCCUGCCCAUGGUGGAGGAGGAGCAAUCCCUUUCUCCUAAGCCCUGGCCUGUGGUCUCCCAGGCUCCCAGAAGAGCAGGCCUUCCCAUUUCCCUGCCUGUGCUGCCAGCAGUGAAGCCAUGCAGACAGAGCUGGCACGGCUCCUGGUGACCCCGGAGAUGUGGCUCCUCGCUGCAAACGGCAUCAGGCGGAGCUGGAUGAGAUCAGACAUGGAGGGGAACAGAAAGGGAACAAGAGAUUCCAGAGGGCUCCUCUGCCUCUGAGUCGUGUUACUGUUGACUCCUUUAUUGUGAUUAACUCCUUGACAUCCUCCUUCCGUGACAAGUGGGGGAGGACAGACUGAACUUGGUGAUUAAUUUAUCAGUGAAUUACCUCCUUCCCUUUCAAACCUCGCCCCCACUGAUGAUCUUUAUGGCUUAGCUCUAUCUUAUGAGAGGGUUUACAGCUAGAUACAGGUUUGACAGUUUUCAUUUCAUCACUGAGAAACUCUGUUUGGAGCAUGCCAUGUUCCUUACACAGACGUGGUGGUAACACCAUCUGCAAGCUUCAGCCCACCCCACAAGCCCUGUAUGAGGAAAAGAAAUCCUCUCCUCCUCAACCUCUUGCUCAAAUGACAGUAAUUAGGGAACCUCAUCACUCUAGACCUGGAGAGGGAGGUGACGUUCACGGUAAUUGGAGACAUUACAUGAAGCCACACUGUGCUUAUAAAAAAAAAAAGAAAGAAAAACCACACAGAGAAAAAACAAGCCCCUUUCCCCCCAACCUGGUUGGCAUUUCCUAAAUAAACUGCCUUUUUUCAGGCACAUUGUGUGAUUUUUAAUACUGGAGACUACUGGAAGGACUCCUGCAGCCCGAUUAAGUGUAAUGCAGUGUAAGAAAAAUAGGAAGGAGGGGGAAAACCCUCGGAAAGGCAAUCGAAGUGAAAAAUCUAUCAACAGCACAGGGGCUCCAGUGGAGCCAGGAGUCCUGUUCUGAACACACUCCAACUUCCCAGUCGUUUGCUCUGCUGGACACUCCGGGGACCCCAGCACAGCAAACUACAAUUUCUAGUAAAUAUAUCCCAGGGACACAAUUAGUUUUUCAGCUGGGGGCAUGAUAAAUUGGUCAUGCAUAAUUCAAGGCCAGCACAGGCUGGAGUAUAAACUGCUCCAUGGCAGCUUCCAGCUCCCUGACAGGGGAAUGCAAAUGGGCUGCUGGCGCAGGGGCUGCUGGACCCACUAACGCUGCACCUCCCUGCCUGCUCCCCUGUCCACCUCCAUGCCUGGCAACCACCACCCCAGCCUUUCCUUCUGUGCCUCUCUUGGUGAUUUUAAUUUCCCAGCGAUGUAUCCAUCACUGUCCGAUGGCCUUCUGGGACCCAACACACAUUGUUAUCACAACAAAUACCACUCUCCGCUCCAUCUACUCUGUUUUUUCCAUAUGCAGACACAAGAGAAUGGUUUUGGCACAGAAAGAGGCUGAGGGACUGUGUGGUCUAUUGUCAGCAUUAGAAGGCCUUGGGCAAGUAAUUUCCAAUCUGCCUCAGUGUUCCCAUCGACACAAUGGAGAUAAUUCCAACCACACAACUGCAGAGUUAGCAAGACACACUCAGUUUGGGGUUUGAUAAAGGUCUGAGAGGUGGCUGGGGAUAUGCAGCCCACCCAAACAACAGUCUCAAGUUCUCCAACCUUAUUUUAGGUAUUUAUUUAAAUACAUCUACCUGCUCAAAGCAGGAGAACGAGAGAACUUGCUGCUUUGCAGUUGGCCAAGUGAUGGAUGAAGUGAAAACUCCAAGGAAACUUUGGGAAUCCUUCAAAAUGACGUCCCCAAGUUUCUCAGUGCAUGCCCUACAGCCUCCCAGCCAGGGAGAGAUACACAGUGUACACACUGGAAAACUCUGCCAGAAAAAUCACUGCAAGUACAUUCUCUGUACAGCCACAUCACUGAAGGCUGACAGCUCCUUUCACCAGCCACAGUUUCUCUAUCUUCCAAAAUCCUGAAACCACUUCUCAGGAUGCAUUGCCAUUUUCUGCUCCUCGGGAACAGAAUAAGCAUUUUAAGUCCAGUCUGUGUGAAAUGUUCUUAAGAAGCAGGCUGAGGCAGAGCAGGGCAUUAAUAAAGGAAAGUUUUGGCAGUGUA
This is a long non-coding RNA of Pseudopipra pipra, 4001 nucleotides long. RefSeq lists it as uncharacterized. The record is from RefSeq and is a predicted model, not a curated record. The transcript has 2 exons. Lineage: Eukaryota; Metazoa; Chordata; Aves; Passeriformes; Pipridae.